RNAcentral lists this long non-coding RNA (13093 nucleotides) under Vitis vinifera (wine grape). RNAcentral describes it as "long non-coding RNA (VVIN_LNC001521)". Lineage: Eukaryota; Viridiplantae; Streptophyta; Magnoliopsida; Vitales; Vitaceae. The record is from RNAcentral.
AAACAAGGCAACAAAAGAAAUAAAAAACCUAGAGAGGAAAAAGCUAACCAACAAGCCAAUCACCCAAAAAAUUCAGAAAAGAGAGAGAGUCCAAGUCCAAAAACUAUUGAGACCACUCAAGAAGAGACCGAAAAAAGAGGUUCCUCAAGCAAGUAUCUGACAUCUCUUCCUCUUGGAAUGUUCUUCAGUUUCACUCUCCCCAAAUACACCAAAAAAGACAAAUAGGCGCCAAUCUCCAAAUCGCUCUCCUUUUCUUCCCUAGCCCCUUAACUUUCCAUUCUAGAAGUAGAUUUCUCAUUGAAGCUGGGAACACCCACACCACCCCAAAAGAAGAAAGCAACAAAGUCCAAAACUCCCUUGUCUUACCACAAUGAAUUAGGAUGUAGUCAACCGAUUCUUCAUUCUCUUUACAAAGACUGCACCUAUUAACCAUAGACCAACCCCUCCUCAUUAACAUAUCUACAAUAGAAAUUUUACCCUAAACUGCUUCCCAUGCAAAAAAAUGUAUUCUAAAAGGGGCAUACGAACCCCAAACCUCUUUGGCUGGAAAUAAGGGGCUAUUCUCAUCCUUUAAAGACCUAUAAUAAGAUUUAACAUUAAACUUUCCCUUCCUCUCUAUCUUCCAAAAUAAAGAAUCCUCCCCUUUUUGAACCUUUAUUGCAGAAAUAUGAUCCAAAAAAUGAGUCACCUCCUCCAAUUCCCAAUCUUGGAAGGAUCUUCUAAAGUGCACCUCCCAACCCUCGCCCCCACCUCCUUGUCUCCCCCAAAGAUCAGCCACUACAGCAGAAUUAUGGGUUGCAAUUUUGAACAGCAAAGGGAAAAGAUCCUUCAGCUUAGAAUCUCCUACCCAAAUGUCUCACCAAAAUCUUGUGCGUCUACCAUUUCCAAUACGAAUACUAGUUCUAAGAAGGAACUCAUCCCAACCCUUUCUAAUGUCUUUCCAAAGGCCCAUCCCAUAAGACUCCCUCACCUCUCUAGUGGUCCAACCCCCUUCCUCCUCUCUAAAUUUACCAACAAUGACUUUCUUCCAAAAACUCUCCCUCUCUAGAGGAAAUCUCCAAAGCCAUUUCCCUAGCAAAGCAUGAUUGAAAACCUUCAAAUGCCUUAACCCCAGCCCUCCAUGCCUCUUAUCUUUGCAAAUAACCGCCCAUCUUACCAAGUGGAUCUUCCUUCUCUCCUCCACGUCUCCCCAUUACCUUGAAACCCCUCAUGAAACCUUUCAUCUCAGCUCUUAAUAUUAAACUGAUAUUAGAGUGUCAUUCUAAUAUGCAUGUUUAACAGAAAUCAUUCAACAAAAUAAAUAUCAUAAAAACAAAAUGGCCCCAUACAGAAAUCCAUUUUUUUUUCUUACAUUUUCCCAGCUCUGAAGAAACUGCACCUGUUGAGGGCAAGAAUUCAAAGACCCUGCAUCCAUAACAUUUAAUGAGAACCAAAGACCAGACUUUAAAAAAAAUAAAAACCCUAAAUUGGAGCAAUUUCGCUGAAAUCUAAACGAGAAGCAUUUAAUUAAAAUCAAAUUGUGAAUCAAUGAAAGUGGUUAAGGGUUGGGGAGGGUUUCACCUCUGGAGAGCCGUGUAAGGAGGAGGAUCGAAAGGGAGUCAGCCAUCGAUUGUGGGGAUCGAUUGCGGGGAUCGAUUGCAGGGAUCGAUUGCAGGGAUCGAUUGCGGGAAUCGAUUGCAGGGAUCGAUUGCGGGAAUCGAUUGCAGGGAUCGAUUGCGGGGAUCGAUUGCAGGGAUCGAUUGCGGGGGAUCGAUUGCAGGGGAGCGAGGGAGAGAGAUUGCGGGGAGCGAUGAGAAGUUCCUGGAAUUUUCCAACGGUAAGUGCGGGAGAGAAAUUGAAAUAAAGAAAGUGCGGGAUUUUAUAACGGUAGCCAGCUUGAAAAGGUAAAACUCAGGCCAGCUCGCAGCUGCCUCUAAGGCCCGGCCCAGUGGGAUAAAUUGGGUUAGGGCAGGCUUUGGUUCCCCGGCCCAAACCGGUCCGGUUUGGCCCAACCCAUUUCAAGCCUAAAUUUCAGUUUUAAACUUCAAAAGCAAGGGGGAAAAAUGGUGAAGAAAAAAAAAAAAAAAAACACCGAGUGUAGUUGAUUGACAGCAAAAUGUGAGUUGCUCUCAACCCUGCUCUGAGGUAAAAUCCCUAGUUUUUUAUUUUAUUUUUUCCUCUCAACCCUAAAAACACAAUGUUUCCUUUUUAACAUGGAUCGGCUUUCCCUUCCCAAAUUCCAUCUUGGUCCAGAAGUGAAGAAUAUAUCAAAAUUUUCAAUUCAAUCCCCAUAAAAGAAUGCAUUGUUUUAUUGAACACAAGGUCAGGUCAAGUCUAUUGGUUUACAUUUCUUUGUAGUUCUAGGAUGGAACACAAAGGGAGUCUUCAAUUCAAUCCCCUUGAAGGCAUCUUGAUUGCAUUAGUUCAAUGCAGAGGUGAAGGGAGGACAAACUAUGAUGGAAGGAUUCAUUCACAUCCUAUGUGAUACAUAAUGGAAUGGUUUCUUUUCCUGUAUACCCUCAUUUUCCCUUAAGUCUUGAUGUGUAAAGUUUUGAUUUCUUUUCUUGCGUGUUUUUUUCCCAUUAUGUUGCAGCUUACAUUUUUGUAUUUGCUGUUUGUAUAGGACAAACAUGAAAAGAUAAGGGAGCUAACCCUGGCCUUUGAGAAGCAACAAGCUCAAAUCUAUAAAAGGUACAUGGAAAUGGUUAUUGUGUACAUUGAGGAGUAUGAUAGGACUUUUCUCAAGGUAAUUUAAAAAAGUUAUUAUUAAAUUAUUAUACUAGAAGAAGUUAUUACAAAUAUAUGGUAGGUUUUGCCACCUAGGAGAGAGGGUGAACAGAUAAAUUUUUUUUUUAACCAAAAUUGUCUUUUUACAAGACGAUUUUAUUUCCAUUUUAAAAAAAAAUAAAAAUUCAAAAGGGAAAUAGUCUCUUGAAGAGACGAUUUCCCAUUAAAAAAAUUAAUAUUUUUUUUAAUAUUUAUUACAAAUUAUAUAUAAAAAAAAAAAAAAACCCAUGGGAUUUUUUUAAAAAAAAAUCCUCAAGCGAAUUCCCAUGAAAAAAAUUAAUAUUUUUUUUUAAAAAAAAUCCUCAAGGGAACUCGUCUCUUCAAGAGACGAGUUCCCAUGAAAAAAAAAUAUAUUUUAAAAAAAAAUCUCAAAUUAUAAAAAGACGAGUUCCCAUGAAAAAAAAAAUUUAAAAUUCCCAAAUUAUAAAUAAAUAAAAAAUUCCUCAAGAGAACUCGUCUCUUAAAGAGAUGAGCUCCCAUGACUUUUUUUUUUUUAAAAAUCCCAAAUUAAAAAUAAAAUAAAAUAAAAAAAUCCUAAAGGGAACUCGUCUCUUCAAGAGACGAGUUCCCAUGAAAAAAAAAUCCUCAAGAGAAUUCAUCUCUUCAAGAGACGAGUUCCCAUAAAAUAUAUAUAUAUAUAUAUAUAUUUUUAAAAAAAAAUCCCAAAUUUAAAAAAAAAAAAAAAAUCUUCAAGGGAACUCGUCUCUUGAAGAGACUAAUUCCAUGAAAAAAAAUUAAUAUUUUUUUAAAAAAAAUCCCAAAUUAUAAAUAAAGAAAUAAAUAAAUAAAUAAAAUCAUCAAGGGAAUCCCAAAUUAUAAAAAAAAAAAAAAAAAAAAAAAAAAAUUCAAGGGAAGUCGUCUCUUUAAGAGAGUAGUUCCCAUAAAAAAAAUUAAUAUUUUUUUUUUUUAAAUCCCAAAUUAUAAAAUUAAAAAAAAAAAAUCCUCAAGGGAACUCGUCUCUUCAAGAGAUGAGUUCCCAUGAAAAAAAAUAUAUAUAUAUUUUUUAAAAAAAUCCCAAAUUAUAAAAUAAAAAAAAUCCUAUAAAAAAAAUCCCAAAUUAUAAAAUAAAUAAAAAAAAUUCCUCAAAGGAAUCGUCUCUUCAAGAGACGAGUUCCCCUUGAAAAAAAAAUAUAUUUUUUUUUAAAAUUCCCAAAUUAAAAAAAAAAAAAUCCUCAAGGGAACUCGUCUCUUGAAGAGACGAUUUCCCUUUUGAAAUUUUUUUUUAAAUGAAAAUAAAAUCGUCUUUUGAAAAGACGAUUUUGUCUUUUGAAAAGACGAUUGUCUUUUGAAAAGACGAUUUUGUCUUUUGAAAAUACCAUUUUGGUUUUAAAAAAAAUUUAUCCGUUCACCCUCUCUCUUAGGUGGCAAAAACUACCAUAUAUUUGUAAUAACUUCUUCUACUAUAAUAAUUUAAGAAUAAUUUUUUUAAAUUACCGUACUAUUGAGAAAAGUCCGACUAUGAUAAGAGUAUAUCAAAGACCAUUGAACUUACAGUAAAUAAUUUGAAAGAGAUGGAGAGCAGAGAGCAGUAAUGUCAUAGACAAAUUGGAAGAAUAAUGAGAAGUACGGGAUUUGUCGUUGUUUUCCAACAGACAACAAAUCUUGACUGUUCGAUUUCUCCCUCCAUUCACGUUUUUAGCGCGGACUUGCCAUGGUAGGCAGCUCAGUUUAAAAAGUGAAACUCAACCCAGCUCACAGCUGCCUCAGUUUAAAAUUGGCCUUGUAAGGCCCGACCCAACCAUAUUGGUCCUCUGAAACCCAGCCCUGCAGGAUAUUAUUCUUUUCCUUUUUAUAAAAACAUAAAUUAAUUUAGGUCGCUACAUAAAACUAGAGCUUGUAAUCCUAUCAAAGGCAGAAAAAAUAAAUUCAAUUUCUCUAAAUUGUUUUUCAUGGUAUCAAACCUUAAUUAAGGUUCUUUUUAAACCAUCACCUUGUUCCACUUCCUUCAAAGCAUUUCUUCUCCUAAGUAGCCUUAAUUUUUGUAACAUGUUUCAAUUAUCUAGCUAGCCUCAUCUCAUCUCCUAUUUACUUCUUUCAUUCAAACAAAAAUUAUGUCAAUCACUUCUAAGAAUCAAGUAUCUUCCAAGCUAUAAAAUACCCAACAACCAACUUAGCCAAUUACCACCUUUCAAAAUGACCACCCUACUCUUCAAAUCACCACAAUAAAACUUGAUGGUAAUAAUUGAGAAAAUAAAGGCUAUGUUUAAAUGAGAAAAACACCCAAGAGGGGGGUGAAUUGGGUUUUUCAAAAUAUUUUUCAACACAACUAAUUCAAGCACAAUAUAAUAAAAAAUAAAAGGAUAGAAUUAGAGAAUUCAAACUCGGAUUUUAUAGUGGUUCAACAUUUCCCUGCCUACGUUCACUCUCCUCAAUCUCCUAACCGAGUGAGGGUUCCACUAACUUGAACCUUCAACCAAGCUUCCAAUCUUUUACACUUGAAUUCUGGCUCCAAUGGGCUCUUACACAAUCUCUUCAAGAUUCAAACCUCUUAAAGGCUUUAACACUCAAGUUUUACAAGAAAGAAUCCCUCAACCUAGCUCAAAGAUAGCUCAAAUACAAAUCAAAGCUAGGAUGACUCACAAGGAUGCACUAAAAGAUAUGCAAAUGGGGAUUUAAUACACUAAGAAAGAAAUGAGAGCUUUUAAGACAAUAACAAGUAGGUAGAUAAUUGAUUGCAGGUGUUCUUUGUGUCAUAAAUAAAGUGGAGCUCUCAAUUUAUAGGUUUCUAAGAUCGAGAGCCAAGAAAAGAAAAAGGUAGCCUCAAUCGAUCGAGCUGGGGGUCGACCGGUUCACUAGCCGUUGGAGCAUUUAAUGCUUUGGCAGGUUUAGUUGUCUCGAUCGGACCUCGAUCGUACCUCGACCGGAGGUCGACCGGGAAGGGGAAACCCUCAACCGGGAAGAGGAAGCUACUAGAUGAGAGAGAGUGUUUUUGGCACUCUUCGACCGAACCUUGAUCGGACAAGGGCAACCGAUCGACCGGUUGGCCAUAGCCUUGACCGGUUCAGCCUUUUGGCCCCGAAAACCUAUUUUUUUCAAUUCAUUUCUUUUCUAACACUUAGGCAAGGUCUUUAGGUAAAUUAAUAUGUCAAUUUUAAAACGUUUUGCCUAAAAUACAUUUGAUAAAACUCGGGUUUUAAUGAAAUCGAAACUUUAAAGGGUAAACCGAGUUUUUAAAGAUGCAUGAAACGGUAUGAAAAACCUAAGUGCACCCAUGCAUUCAUCUUACAUUCGUUUCCUAUGAUCAAAAGUCUUCUAAAAGUCUCAAUCUUGUAUCCAUUUGGUCCUUUGAUGAAUUUCUGAAUUUAUACCUGAGCUUCUUUACCAUUCAAACCAAUUAGUCACUUAACCAUGAUUUGUUAUCAUCAAAACCCAAUUAGGAGAACCCUUGGGCUAACGAUAAUUUUGUGGAAUGUCCCAUCUUCCAAAUAGUUCCUUAGGAGUAAGAGAAAGACAAGUUAUAUAUUUGGAGCUAUUGCAAAAUCAAAAGAAACAAAUCCAAAAUAUGUUAUGUGGGAUGCCGAGAAUUUAAUUGUGAUGUCUUAGUUGUUGAAUUCAAUGUUGCUUGAGAUUAGUAAGGGAUUAAGACUUCUCCCUAAAUCCAAGGAAAUUGGGAUGCAAUGAAUCAAAGCUAAAUGUCAAUGUUGUUGCUCAAGUCUAUGAACUAAAAUUUCAAAUUCAUCUAACCAAACAAGAUAUAAUCAUUGUAACUCAAUAUUACAAUACAAUGAAGUUUAUAGUUAGAACUUGUAUUUGAUUGUUGAAAUGGAGUCUAUUGUGGAUAAUGUGUAAUCGAAGAAUUUUUUUAGAAUCCAAGAGGGUCUUUGAGUACUUGUUGGUCUUAAUUAGGAGUUGGACCAAGUAAAGAGUCAAGUGCUAAGUAAAGAACCUCUUCCAUCAUUUGAGGAAGAAAGCAUAAGGAUUGUGAUGCUUCUAAAUUCAAGUACAAAGAAUCCCACUAUUACUACACCAAACAUUCAAUAUUGAUGGCUUCCAACCCUAUACUUAGGUAACAUGUCUUAUUUAUAAUUUAAAGAGAAUAUUAAUUUAUUAAUUUAUGAUAAUAAAUAAACUAAUAAACCACAUUCAUUCAGUAUGACAUGAACUUAAUAAUUUAUGAAUUCAUUAAUUUCAAAAAUUUUAACAUCAAUGUGAAUCCUUCCAUUUUAAUUAGAGUUAUUUAUGAUAUUAUUAUUAAUUUCCUCUUAACCUCCCAAAUCAAUUCAUAUUCUACCAAAGUAUACUUUACGGCGCACAUGAUCCAUAUCUAUUUUUCUACAUUCAUAUUCAAUUCAUUGGCUUUGAAUUAGUUUCAUUGUACACAUUAUAAAUCUACUUAGUUGACCUUUCAACUAACUCAUUUUGAAUCUUUCUUCUAAAUAUGAAUAAUACAUGCAUAUAACUAAUUUUAAUUGUAUUAUUUAAAAAAUAAAAAUGGUGAAUUAAGCAUAUGUUAAAAGCCAGAGAUUGACCAACGAUAACUUUCUAUCUAAUAUCAUCUUUGACAUUGUAGAGGGUUAUAUUACAUUGCAAAAAAACCUCAAUAAAAAACAAAGAAAAACGGAGGAUGUGAAGAAUCUUGGAGGAAAAACGAACGAUAAGAAAACUUCAUUAUGUGAUUUUUAAAAUGGGUAAGGCACUAAUAUUUGUUUUUUAUAUGUUGAUCUUUAUUGUAAGGUUUAAACUUCACUAAAAAAGGGAGCAAUAUGAAUUUAAAGAGGAGAGAACUAGGUAGCAAAAAUGGCAUGGAAAAGAAUUAAGAAUGAGAGAAAGAUGACGUUUAUUUAAGGGAAUAAAGAAAAGUAAAAAUAUUCAAAGAUGGUUCUUUUCUCAAAGGAGUAAAAGAGGUUAUUUUUCCGAUUUCAAGCUUAUUUUGGUCCUUUUUAACUAAAUAUCACUUUUUAAAUCAAAUAUCCUAGAAAAAUAACAAUUACACAUUCAAGAGUGAUUUAUGAAGCAAAGUUCUCAUAAUAUAAUGUGACAUAUAACAAAAAAAAAAAAAAAUUAAUUCUACAUAUAUUUAUAUUAGGAAUUACAAAAGGCAAAUUCAAGAUGGAGUGUUAUUUAAAUUUGUUCCCAUCCUUGUUUCAAAAGAAAAGAAAAAAAACUAAAUGGGCAUGCCAAAGCGAAUAUGGCAAAUGCAAGAUAGGGUAGGUACAAGAAUUCCCUAUACCUGCUUUACCCUAUUUAUUUUUUCAAACUUUAAUUAUAUUAAAAAUAAAUAUAAUUUAUAAAUAAAUAAAUAUUAUAAAAUUUAAAUUUUAUUUUUUUAAGAAGUAGAUUUUUUAUUUUAUUUUAGUUAAAGGAAACCAAAAAAAAUUAAAAUGAUUUAUUUAUAUUUAAUUAUAUAUAUAAAUGGGUAGUGGAAUAAGAUAAUACCUGAAUCCACUUUGAACUUAACCUUGAUUAAAAAAAAUAUAUUUCUAAACCAUCUUUAACAUGUUUCUUCUAAUCUCAAAUCCAUCUUGUUUAGAGCGAGACAAAUAUUAAAAAAAAAUCCACCCCAUUACCAUGCUAUGUAUCAUGGAGUAAUGUCUAAAUAGGGGAUUGCAUUUGAAUUUUAAUUUUCAUUUGAAUCUUCCAUUAAUAAAAAUUUAAGAUAAAUUGGUUCAAUGGAAUCAUUUGAAGAAUAAAAUAGAUCAUUUAAGCAUAUCUUGAAUUUGGAGAGAAAAAACAGGAAAAAUUGAAGGGAGAAGGAAUUAAAUCACAAGUGUUAAGACUUAAUGGAAGGCUGGCAUGUCAAAAUCACAAGGACUAAAAGCUCUCAACGCUCUGUUCAAACCAACCUCCCCUCCCGCCAAAACAACCACCGUCACCACCACCACAAGGGCUCAUGGACCCUCUCGCUCCCCGGAAACCCACUUCAUUCCCCUCAUACACGCCUCCAACACCCUUCCUCAACUCCACCAAAUCCACGCCCAAAUCUUCCUCCAUAAUCUCUUCUCCAAUAGCCGGGUGGUUACUCAGCUCAUUUCCUCCUCUUGUUCGCUCAAAUCCCUCGAUUACGCCCUUUCCAUCUUUCGUUGUUUUGAUCACCCCAACUUGUUUGUUUUCAACGCUUUGAUUCGUGGGCUUGCUGAGAAUUCUCGGUUUGAGGGCUCUGUUUCGCAUUUUGUGCUAAUGUUGAGGUUGAGUAUUCGACCUGAUCGAUUAACUCUGCCGUUUGUGCUCAAAUCUGUGGCGGCUUUGGUUGAUGUAGGGCUUGGGAGAUGUCUUCAUGGUGGAGUCAUGAAGCUUGGGCUUGAGUUCGAUUCUUUUGUUCGGGUCUCGUUGGUUGAUAUGUAUGUUAAAAUUGGGGAGUUGGGUUUUGGUUUGCAGCUGUUUGAUGAAAGUCCUCAGAGAAAUAAAGCAGAGAGUAUUCUGCUGUGGAAUGUUUUGAUUAAUGGGUGUUGUAAAGUGGGGGAUUUGAGUAAGGCUGCUUCGCUUUUUGAGGCAAUGCCGGAGAGAAAUGCGGGUUCUUGGAAUAGUUUGAUUAAUGGGUUUGUCAGAAAUGGAGAUUUGGACCGAGCUAGAGAGCUUUUUGUUCAGAUGCCGGAGAAGAAUGUGGUUUCUUGGACCACAAUGAUUAAUGGGUUUUCACAGAAUGGGGACCAUGAAAAGGCUUUAUCAAUGUUUUGGAGGAUGCUGGAGGAGGGCGUGAGGCCUAAUGAUCUAACUGUUGUUUCUGCUCUUUUGGCUUGCACUAAAAUUGGAGCUCUCCAAGUUGGAGAACGAAUCCACAAUUAUCUCUCGAGCAAUGGUUUCCAGUUGAACAGAGGGAUUGGGACUGCUCUGGUUGACAUGUAUGCAAAGUGUGGGAAUAUCAAGUCUGCUAGCCGGGUGUUUGUUGAGACAAAAGGGAAGGACCUUCUUACUUGGAGUGUCAUGAUAUGGGGGUGGGCAAUCCAUGGAUGUUUUGAUCAAGCUCUUCAAUGCUUUGUAAAGAUGAAAUCUGCAGGUUUGAGAUCUUUCAGUGUUGUAUGAAAUUUCAUUUGAUUAUCUAAAUAAAUCUUUUUAAGAAAUUGAAAUUUGUCCUACUUGCAGGAAUAAACCCAGAUGAGGUUAUAUUUCUUGCCAUCUUAACUGCGUGUUCUCAUUCCGGGAACGUAGAUCAGGGGCUUAAUUUCUUUGAAAGCAUGAGGCUUGACUACUCCAUUGAGCCUACCAUGAAACAUUAUACAUUAAUUGUAGAUCUAUUAGGCAGGGCAGGCCGGCUGGAUGAAGCUCUAAGUUUCAUUCAGAGCAUGCCGAUAAAUCCUGAUUUUGUGAUAUGGGGAGCACUCUUUUGUGCCUGCAGGGCUCACAAAAACAUUGAAAUGGCAGAACUUACUGCAGAGAAGCUCCUGCAGCUUGAACCUAAGCAUCCUGGAAGCUAUGUUUUUCUGUCAAACGUUUAUGCUGCAGUGGGAAGAUGGGAAGAUGUAGAAAGAGUGAGAACUUUAAUGAAGAAUAGAGGUGUAGAGAAAGAUCCUGGGUGGAGCUAUAUUGAAGUGGAGGGCCAAGUGCAUAGUUUUGUAGCUGGUGAUCAUGCUCAUGUGCGUGCAGAAGAGAUAAGCCUAAAACUAGAGGAGAUAACAGCAAGUGCAAAGCAAGAAGGAUACAUGCCUGAAACUGCAUGGGUACUUCACAAUAUUGAAGAAGAAGAGAAGGAAGAUGCGUUAGGAAGCCAUAGUGAGAAGUUGGCACUUGCCUUUGGGCUCAUUAGUACUGCUCCGGGGUCAACCAUAAGGAUUGUGAAGAACCUGAGAGUCUGUGGGGAUUGCCACUCCAUGAUGAAAUACGCUAGUAAGCUGAGUCGAAGGGAGAUCAUAUUGAGAGAUAUAAAGCGAUUUCAUCAUUUCAAGGAUGGAACUUGCUCUUGUGGAGACUACUGGUAAUACAGUAAGCUACCCAGCUUGCUUGUAUAACAUUUUUCUGGUGAAGUUUUGUCAACUCACAUUUUUCAUUUAUAUUUAUCUAACCAUUUGUCAGAUUGACUUAAUAAAGCUAUCUCAAUUAUUUGGGUGUUGGUAACUUCCCUUUCCACUUUUUCACCUUGCUUAGGCUAUGUGUUCUCAUAAAUCACGACCCCUAUGUUUUUCUUUUCUCUCAUUCAAUCAAUUUUUAUCCCCUAUACUUGUUCUUGCAGGACUUGCAACUUAAACCAUCAACCCUUUUGGUGGUGAACUCAUUUGCCUUUGUUGCAUUUGACCAAACCUCCUAGUCUUUAUAUGCUUUUGGGUGUACCAAACUUAGAGAUUGCAAACAUUUAUGUUAGUUAAAUACAUGAAAAGGUAUGACCAGUGUGGGUCUUGCGUUAGUCUUGCCUAGUAAGACCUGAUUGCACUUGCCAUGAUCUUGUCUAACAUGACUUGUGUAAUGACUCAUUCUCACCAAUGUAGAUACUGUUCGCUUUAGGCCUAAUGGGCUCUUACGGCUUUAAAGAGCAUCUACAUAGUCAAGAAAAGUCCACCAUGUCAUGAACUUCUUCCCCUAACUUAUAUGAGAUAUCACAAUCAACCUUCUAAGUAGACAUGACAUUCUCAUUGUGUCCCAUAGAUUGCAAGGUUACACAAACAAAAAUCCAUUGUGGGGCUAAACAAACAAAGAGUGGUUGAAGAUUGAUUCUAAUACCAAUUUGUAAUGACCCGAUUUGACCUAUGUAAAUAUUAUUUAUUUUAGACCCAAUGGAUCAUCGUGACUUCAAAAUGCGUUUACAUGAUUACAACUUGCCUUCAUAUGCAAGAAUUUUGCUUGGAAAGACUCCCCUUUUAAAGGUCUUGGCCUAACCUUGUUGCCCCUAUAGCAGUCUUUUCAAGCCUCCACUUGUAGGAUUCUUGCUUUGAAAUACUCCACUUUUGGGGAUCUUGCUUGGUAAGGCUUGAAAAUACCUUUGGGGAUCUUGCCUAGAAUGACUUCACUACUACUGAAAAAAAAAAAAACAGAAUUAUUAACAGUUAAUUUCUUGUGCUUAUGAAAGGCAUAAAUAUUUAGGUACUAAGAUGGUGUGUAUAGGAAAUGAGCCAAAGUUAGCACUUCUAACAUAAAUGUAUUGGCACUUUUUAGAAAUAUGUAAACAAUGACAAUUGUUGGAAGGAUGAGGUGGCACUUAUAAUCGAUUUAAGUAGUCAACAUUGGCACUUCUUAGAAGCAUCAUGUUAUACCUCUUUAAUUUUUUUGGGCAACCUUGGCACUUUCUAGAAGCGUCAACUCAUACAAUAUUACUUAUUGAUCUCAUUUGCAUAUUCUCACCCACACCUUGACAAAGACUUCAAAUGGUUAUCCAUAGUUGGAGUCCACUGGUGACCUCUACCUCUAUUGCACACUAACAUCAAGCACUGAUGAGCUCCAUAGUUGAACACCACUAGCCACCACUGACAAUCAAAACAAAGAAUUUAUUGAAACUUCAUUUGAAAUCUCUUUAUCUGAAUCCACUACUUCCUUAGGUACGAAUCUUUGUCAAUUUUUUCUUCUUGUUUCCAUCAAUCCAUUAUUUGUGUGUAUGUGUGUAUUUUUUUUGUCAGGUAGAGUCGGGGCUAGGGACGGGUUAUUCACAUUUCAUUUGAUGGUCAAAGGUGAAUUAAAAGCUAAGCAGUGGUAAUUCUAAAGAUUCCCCGAGGGAAAUCUCUACUCCAAAACUGGACUUGAGAGUUUCUUCUCAUCUAGCUCCUCGCAAAUGAAAUGAUUCAAAAAAAUUAGUGAAGAUAAAAUUCAAUUUUUUUUGUUGUUGUUAAGGAUCUAUGGAGUUCCUUUCCUUUUUUGGUGUAAGUCAAUUACUAAUCUAGAGAUCUAAUGGUUAGGUAAGUGAUUUGGUUUGAAAAUCAUUUGAUAUUUUUUGGUACUUUUUCUUAUUUUUUUGUUGAAUUUGUAUUAUUAUGCUUGUUUCCAUUUGUUCCUCUAUUUGUUAGAAAUAUCAUUUAGUUUUGAUUUGUUGAUUUUUGUCUGAACAUUGUUUGGUUGGUGAGAAAUGGAAGUGAAAGAAAGAAAGUGUUGGAUCUUGUUGUUUUAGGUUUGGAGUCGGAUUCAUAACCUAGAUAAAUCAUUAUAGUUUUUUUUUUUUGAUAGACAAAGAGAAAAAUAAAUUAAAAAAGGCCGAAACAGGGGGCGCUCCCCACGUACACAAGCAGUAUACAAAGAAAGCCAAAAACAAGGCAACAAGAGAAAGAAAAAACCUAGAGAGGAAAAAGCUAACCAACAAGCCAAUCACCCAAAAAACUCAAAAAAGAGAGAUAGUCCAAGUCUAGAAACUGUUGAGACCACUCAAGAAGAGACCGAAAAAAAAGGUUCCUCAAGCAAGUAUCUGACAUCUCUUCCUCUUGGAACGUUCUUCGGUUUCGCUCUCCCCAAAUGCACCAAAAAAGGCAAAUAGGCG